AAGCAGGCUCUGCAGCUGAUCCACUGCACAUGGAGCUGUGGCCAGUGCAAAUUCAGAGUACAGAGCCUUUCUUGAGUGUGUAUUUUAAAUGUGUGGAGAGGAAAAAGCUACCUAGAGGGAGAGCCUGAGGCUGGAGCUUGCCGAGAACACCAUGUGGAAGUGGCUCGCUCAGCUGCUGUUGCUCAGCAGGGAAGCAUGGAAAAUACAGAUCCUGAAUGCUGGACUGGCUUGUCCUGAAAAUGGCACAUGUUUGAACAUGGAGUAA
Molecule: long non-coding RNA, 265 nt
Filed under: Parus major (Great Tit)
Lineage: Eukaryota; Metazoa; Chordata; Aves; Passeriformes; Paridae
Description: lncRNA (ENSPMJG00000019351.1)
Source: RNAcentral